This 424-nucleotide ribosomal RNA is filed under the name uncultured bacterium. RNAcentral describes it as "bacterial SSU rRNA". It matches the Rfam family "Bacterial small subunit ribosomal RNA", at positions 355 to 776 of the family's 1533-position model. The record is from RNAcentral.
UAAGGAAUAUUGGACAAUGGCCGCAAGGCUGAUCCAGCCAUGCCGCGUGCAGGAUGACGGCGCUCUGCGUUGUAAACUGCUUUUACUCGGGAAAAAACCCCUGCAUUCUUGCGGGGCUGAUUGUACCGAGAGAAUAAGGGACGGCUAACUUCGUGCCAGCAGCCGCGGUAAUACGAAGGUCCCAAGCGUUAUCCGGAUUUAUUGGGUUUAAAGGGUGCGUAGGCGGCUUAUUAAGUCAGUGGUGAAAGCUCCAUGCUUAACAUGGAAAAUGCCAUUGAUACUGAUGAGCUUGAGUAGAUUUGAAGUGGGCGGAAUGUGUCGUGUAGCGGUGAAAUGCUUAGAUAUGACACAGAACACCGAUUGCGUAGGCAGCUCACUAAACUCUCACUGACGCUGAGGCACGAAAGCAUGGGGAUCAAACAGG